AUGUGAAAGCCCGGGGCUCAACCUCGGAACCGCAUUUGAAACUGGCAGGCUAGAGUCUUGUAGAGGGGGGUAGAAUUUCAGGUGUAGCGGUGAAAUGCGUAGAGAUCUGAAGGAAUACCAGUGGCGAAGGCGGCCCCCUGGACAAAGACUGACGCUCAGAUGCGAAAGCGUGGGUAGCAAACAGGAUUAGAUACCCUGGUAGUCCACGCCGUAAACGCUGUCUACUUGGAGGUUGAGGUUUAGACUUUGGCUUUCGGCGCUAACGCAUUAAGUAGACCGCCUGGGGAGUACGGCCGCAAGGUUAAAACUCAAAUGAAUUGACGGGGGCCCGCACAAGCGGUGGAGCAUGUGGUUUAAUUCGAUGCAACGCGAAGAACCUUACCUACUCUUGACAUCCAGCGAAGCCUUUAGAGAUAGAGGCGUGCCUUCGGGAGCGCUGAGACAGGUGCUGCAUGGCUGUCGUCAGCUCGUGUUGUGAAAUGUUGGGUUAAGUCCCGCAACGAGCGCAACCCUUAUCCUUGUUUGCCAGCACGUAAUGGUGGGAACUCCAGGGAGACUGCCGGUGAUAAACCGGAGGAAGGUGGGGACGACGUCAAGUCAUCAUGGCCCUUACGAGUAGGGCUACACACGUGCUACAAUGGCAGAUACAGAGGGCAGCGAAGCUGCGAAGUGGAGCGAAUCCCUUAAAGUUUGUCGUAGUCCGGAUUGGAGUCUGCAACUCGACUCCAUGAAGUCGGAAUCGCUAG
RNAcentral lists this ribosomal RNA (746 nucleotides) under uncultured Salinivibrio sp. RNAcentral describes it as "bacterial SSU rRNA". It matches the Rfam family "Bacterial small subunit ribosomal RNA", at positions 592 to 1338 of the family's 1533-position model. The record is from RNAcentral. Lineage: Bacteria; Pseudomonadati; Pseudomonadota; Gammaproteobacteria; Vibrionales; Vibrionaceae.